Molecule: non-coding RNA, 106 nt
Organism: Gossypium arboreum
Lineage: Eukaryota; Viridiplantae; Streptophyta; Magnoliopsida; Malvales; Malvaceae
Source: Rfam
AAUCUAUGGUGAGGACACCUUUGCAAUAGGUCCUUGUAUCUCUCCCAUGCAUUGUAAAGAGUUUCUAAGUCCAUCUACACAAAUGAAGAGAUAUCAUUAUGUAAUU